UCCGAGUUGACCCCGGCGGUCCGGUCCAUGUCAAGCCUUGGUAAGGUUCUUCGCGUUGCAUCGAAUUAAUCCGCAUGCUCCGCCGCUUGUGCGGGCCCCCGUCAAUUCCUUUGAGUUUUAGCCUUGCGGCCGUACUCCCCAGGCGGGGCACUUAAUGCGUUAGCUACGGCGCGGAAAACGUGGAAUGUCCCCCACACCUAGUGCCCAACGUUUACGGCAUGGACUAC
This 227-nucleotide unclassified non-coding RNA is filed under the name uncultured Micrococcaceae bacterium. RNAcentral describes it as "contains 16S-23S intergenic spacer region". The record is from RNAcentral. Lineage: Bacteria; Bacillati; Actinomycetota; Actinomycetes; Micrococcales; Micrococcaceae.